RNAcentral lists this transfer RNA (73 nucleotides) under Fasciola hepatica (liver fluke). It matches the Rfam family "tRNA". From Rfam's summary of the family: Transfer RNA (tRNA) molecules are approximately 80 nucleotides in length. Their secondary structure includes four short double-helical elements and three loops (D, anti-codon, and T loops). Lineage: Eukaryota; Metazoa; Platyhelminthes; Trematoda; Plagiorchiida; Fasciolidae. The record is from Rfam by way of RNAcentral.
ACCGCGAUAGCUCAGUUGGUAGAGCAACUGCCCGGUAUGCGGAGGGUGGCCGGUUCAAUUCCGGCACGCGGAG